CUUUGGAUAAAAAUGCAAAGCAAAAUGAAGUAUGGACAUUUGAUGAUAAAUGAUGGAUUGGUUUGUGCACAGAUACCGAAUGGGGCUCCCUCUUUAUCAUCAUGACAUGGAAGACUAGAAACAAAGUUUUGAGAGACCUUUAAAACCAAGUGGCUUUUUAAAAGUUAAGAAAAUGGUAAUCUUUUUAAUAAAUGUAAAUGCUGUUUCAGCUACCUGCCAUAAAAUGUAAAUAUCUUAAAGUAGUUAAAUGACCAAAUUGCUAAUGCUACUACAGAAAAAGCUGAACAGCUGUCUAGUCUAAAUUUAUACACCUUGGUGCACUCUGCAAUUAAAUACUUUAAUGCGCACAAACAAGAAACCAGUAAAGCAUAUAGAAACAUGUUUUGGCUAAUGCUUUUUUCUCAUGCAAAUAUGUGCUGUACAUGUAAUAAGUUUAUUUUUGUUUGCUGGAAAAAGCUCUUCAUGUUCUAUCAAAGUAUUCAGGAAUGGCAGGUUAUGUGUUUAUUAAACAGCCUAAUAGAUACAGCUCUUUUAAAUGUUUUAACUGAAAGUUCUGCAAACUUCACUAGAUGACAAAAGAACUUCACAAGCCAGUAUCACAUAUUAACUUUUAAAAUUUACUGAGCCCAUGUUUAAUUGUAUCAAAUGUUUGAGAUGACUUAUAGAAUUAUAGGUAUUCUCAUUUUCAGCUAAAGAUUCAUAAGGGGGUACAUACAGUCAACAUGAGGGGAGGCAUGUGAUGAAGGUCCAAGAUAUGUAUAAGUAAUCAAUAAUUGAAAUUUAUUUUCUUGAUCAGGAAAAUAAUUGAACUAGUGCAUUCUUCAAGAACUUAGAUAUUAAAAAACUUGGGGAAAAAGAAGAUAGUAUGAAAUUAAUUAAUCAAGGGUUUUUUGGUGGGGGUGGGGGGUGGGGAUGGAACCCAGGGCCUACAAAUAUGCUUAAAAAGCACUCUACAACUGAGCUACACCUCAGCCUGAAAAUUAAUUGUUCUCGUUUUCAAAAAUUGGCUUCAUGAGAUGCAGAAAAAGACUUUUAUGCCUGGUCCUACUAGGGUUUUAGAAAAUGCAUGCAUUGUGGAAUUUUAGAAACAAAGAUCUUUCAUAAAUACAUUUUAUAUUUUAUAAAAGGGUCAUUUGAAUAAUUUCUUGGAUUAUAGUGAAUCUAAGGCGUCCCUGAUAAUAUAAGACAGAGGCCAUCAAUUCAUAAUUAUAGUCAUUGGAAAAACUGAACUAUUGGUAAGUGAUGAGCAGUGUCCAUAGAGAUAUAAGUCAGCUCCAUCUCCAAAAUCU
This 1289-nucleotide long non-coding RNA is filed under the name Heterocephalus glaber (naked mole-rat). RNAcentral's name for it is "lncRNA (ENSHGLG00100035922.1)". Lineage: Eukaryota; Metazoa; Chordata; Mammalia; Rodentia; Bathyergidae. The record is from RNAcentral.